UUAACGCUGAGGUGUGAUGACGAGGCACUACGGUGCUGAAGUAACAAAUGCCCUGCUUCCAGGAAAAGCCUCUAAGCAUCAGGUAACAUCAAAUCGUACCCCAAACCGACACAGGUGGUCAGGUAGAGAAUACCAAGGCGCUUGAGAGAACUCGGGUGAAGGAACUAGGCAAAAUGGUGCCGUAACUUCGGGAGAAGGCACGCUGAUAUGUAGGUGAAGCCCCUGCGGGUGGAGCUGAAAUCAGUCGAAGAUACCAGCUGGCUGCAACUGUUUAUUAAAAACACAGCACUGUGCAAACACGAAAGUGGACGUAUACGGUGUGACGCCUGCCCGGUGCCGGAAGGUUAAUUGAUGGGGUUAGCGGCAACGCGAAGCUCUUGAUCGAAGCCCCGGUAAACGGCGGCCGUAACUAUAACGGUCCUAAGGUAGCGAAAUUCCUUGUCGGGUAAGUUCCGACCUGCACGAAUGGCGUAAUGAUGGCCAGGCUGUCUCCACCCGAGACUCAGUGAAAUUGAACUCGCUGUGAAGAUGCAGUGUACCCGCGGCAAGACGGAAAGACCCCGUGAACCUUUACUAUAGCUUGACACUGAACACUGGUCCUUGAUGUGUAGGAUAGGUGGGAGGCUUUGAAGCGUGGACGCCAGUCUGCGUGGAGCCGUCCUUGAAAUACCACCCUUUAAUGGCUGGUGUUCUAACGUAGACCCGUAAUCCGGGUUGCGGACAGUGUCUGGUGGGUAGUUUGACUGGGGCGGUCUCCUCCCAAAGAGUAACGGAGGAGCACGAAGGUUAGCUAAUCCUGGUCGGACAUCAGGAGGUUAGUGCAAUGGCAUAAGCUAGCUUGACUGCGAGAGUGACGGCUCGAGCAGGUGCGAAAGCAGGUCAUAGUGAUCCGGUGGUUCUGAAUGGAAGGGCCAUCGCUCAACGGAUAAAAGGUACUCCGGGGAUAACAGGCUGAUACCGCCCAAGAGUUCAUAUCGACGGCGGUGUUUGGCACCUCGAUGUCGGCUCAUCACAUCCUGGGGCUGAAGUAGGUCCCAAGGGUAUGGCUGUUCGCCAUUUAAAGUGGUACGCGAGCUGGGUUUAGAACGUCGUGAGACAGUUCGGUCCCUAUCUGCCGUGGGCGCUGGAGAAUUGAGGGGGGCUGCUCCUAGUACGAGAGGACCGGAGUGGACGCAUCACUGGUGUUCGGGUUGUCAUGCCAAUGGCACUGCCCGGUAGCUAAAUGCGGAAAAGAUAAGUGCUGAAAGCAUCUAAGCACGAAACUUGCCCCGAGAUGAGUUCUCCCUGAGACUUUAAGUCUCCUGAAGGAACGUUGAAGACGACGACGUUGAUAGGUCGGGUGUGUAAGCGCAGCGAUGCGUUGAGCUAACCGAUACUAAUGAACCGUGAGGCUUAACCUUACAACGCCGAAGGUGUUU
RNAcentral lists this ribosomal RNA (1418 nucleotides) under Enterobacter cloacae. Its description in RNAcentral is "partial 23S ribosomal RNA". It matches the Rfam family "Bacterial large subunit ribosomal RNA", at positions 1550 to 2925 of the family's 2925-position model. RNAcentral also lists the same sequence under 1 other name. Lineage: Bacteria; Pseudomonadati; Pseudomonadota; Gammaproteobacteria; Enterobacterales; Enterobacteriaceae. The record is from RNAcentral.